RNAcentral lists this ribosomal RNA (501 nucleotides) under Triticum aestivum (bread wheat). Its description in RNAcentral is "partial small subunit ribosomal RNA". Lineage: Eukaryota; Viridiplantae; Streptophyta; Magnoliopsida; Poales; Poaceae. The record is from RNAcentral.
AUGCUUGCAGAGGACGUACUGAAGUGCGAAGGCGGGUUGGUAUUCAAGAGAGAUCCCUCCAUUAGCGGCGGCGGCGUGUGCGUCGUAGCCGACAUACUCAAGUGCGGCGGCGGGUUGGUAUUCAAGGAAGAUCCCUCUGUUAGCGGCGGCGGCGAGUGCGUCGUAGCCGACGUACUCAAGUGCGGCGCCGGGUUCGAAUUCAAGGAAGAUCCAUCCAUUAGCGGCGGUGGCGGGUGCGUCGUAGCAGCCGUAGUGCAAUGCGGCGCCGGGUUCGAAUUCAAGAAAGAUCCCUCCAUGAGCGGCGGCGGCGGAUGCGUCGUAGCCGCCUUACUCAAGUGCGGCGCUGGGUUCGAAUUCAAGGAAGAUCCCUCCAUUCGCGGCGGCGGCGAGUGCGUUGUCACCAACGUAGUCAAGUGCGACGCCGGGUUCGAAUUCAAGAAAGACAACCCCCCUACCGGUGGCGGCAAGUGCGUAGCGGUCGGCACCACUGUCAGGACCUGA